This is a long non-coding RNA of Hippoglossus stenolepis (Pacific halibut), 624 nucleotides long. RefSeq lists it as uncharacterized. The transcript has 5 exons. NCBI's taxonomy places the organism in Eukaryota, Metazoa, Chordata, Actinopteri, Pleuronectiformes, Pleuronectidae. The record is from RefSeq and is a predicted model, not a curated record.
GUAAGAAUAAAGACCAGACUAAGGGCAGUUGCAAAGAUUUCCGUGUUCGUUUCCUGUGCCCUGACACAUUCUGUACAGUGACACCUCCAAAAUGCUGGACACCAUGGUUGGAUCGAGAUAACCCCUCUGGAACCGGAGACUGGGAGACCCUCACUGAUCUGCGAAGAGAAAACCCAGGAAAGAUCUGCAAAAAUCCACUUCAAAUCCAGGUCCAAACUACAUCUGGGGCCAGUGUAGCUUCUACAGGAAAUGUUAUUGCUGUAUCUGACACAAACACUGGAUUCGUCUGUAAGAAUAAAGACCAGACUAAGGGCAGUUGCAAAGAUUUCCGUGUUCGUUUCCUGUGCCCUGACACAUUCUGUACAGUGACACCUCCAAAAUGCUGGACACCAUGGUUGGAUCGAGAUAAUCCCUCUGGAACCGGAGACUGGGAGACCCUCACUGAUCUGCGAAGAGAAAACCCAGGAAAGAUCUGCAAAAAUCCACUUCAAAUCCAGGUCCAAACUACAUCUGGGGCCAGUGUAGCUUCUACAGGAAAUGUUAUUGCUGUAUCUGACACAAACACUGGAUUCGUCUGUAAGAAUAAAGACCAGACUAAGGGCAGUUGCAAAGAUUUCCGUGUUC